GGAGAGAUGGCAGAGUGGUCGAAUGCACUGGUCUUGAAAACCAGCGUACCGAGAGGUACCGGGGGUUCGAAUCCCUCUCUCUCCGC
Molecule: transfer RNA, 86 nt
Filed under: Cryomorphaceae bacterium
Lineage: Bacteria; Pseudomonadati; Bacteroidota; Flavobacteriia; Flavobacteriales; Cryomorphaceae
Description: tRNA-Ser(tga)
Rfam family: tRNA
About the family: Transfer RNA (tRNA) molecules are approximately 80 nucleotides in length. Their secondary structure includes four short double-helical elements and three loops (D, anti-codon, and T loops).
Source: RNAcentral